This is a long non-coding RNA of Gadus macrocephalus (Pacific cod), 2590 nucleotides long. RefSeq lists it as uncharacterized. The record is from RefSeq and is a predicted model, not a curated record. The transcript has 3 exons. Lineage: Eukaryota; Metazoa; Chordata; Actinopteri; Gadiformes; Gadidae.
CAACCCACCCCACCCCACACCCCCACCAGCCAUGUUGUCAUCACCGACCUAAAGACUGCACUCACAAGCUCUGCUUCUCUGCCUCUUGAAUUUAUUCAUUCCCCCUCACCUACCUUUUUUUUUGUGAUCCCAAGUCAAACUGUGUGUGUGUGUGUGUGUGUGUGUGUGUGUGUGUGUGUGUGUGUGUGUGUGUGUGUGUGUGUGUGUGUGUGUGUGUGUGUGUGUGUGUGUGUGUGUGUGUGUGUGUGUGUGUGUGUGUGUGUGUGUGUGUUGCUUGGCCCUGUCCCAAUCCAUACUUAACUCGUUGGCACUGCAUGGCCGUCCUCCAGAUAGUCUGGUCCUGUGUGCCACUGCUCGGCCUGCCAUACCGACCCAAUCACCGCCCGGUGUGUGUGUGUGUGUGCGUGCGUGUGUGUGUGUGUGUGUGUGUGUGCGUGCGUGUGUGCUCUCGCACGACAGCCACCCUCACCCACUCACACAUCCACCCCACGCUCUUUUCAGCUCAAAUGGCUUAAGAAAAGUGUACACCUCCAGAACAAGCCCCUCUCCUCCCUCUAUACUCCUCCAUUUUUGUGAAACAACUUCCAGCCAGGAGACUCCCAUUGGGGACUCGACGCAGGUUCUCUUCAUCCAAAUCUUGAGCCAAAGCUUUAACUCCACCAAUCAAUAUCUCGGUCUGGCUUUUCCAUAGCAAAUCUCGGCACACGCAAACCCCUAUUUGGUUUCCUCCCCCAACGUGGGAGCGUAAGGCUCCAAGAUGCUUCCUCAUUAAGACACGGGCGAGAUCACCACGCGCCAGCAGCCUGCCUAAAUAUAAACCCCGGCCAGAGCAGGGUGGCUGUGUUUCCACGUACCGUUCGUGGGCUAACUGACAGUCACUGUUUGUCCUUACAAAGUGUGUGUGUGUGUGUGUGUGUGUGUGUGUGUGUGUGUCUACCUGCGCACAACUUUGUGUGCCCCCCCCCCAUGUGCGAUUACGCUCAUGGUGGUUGAACUGCGAGGUACGGGUCCCGUGUAGAGGUGACAACAGGGCCGUAGGGGAUACUAAAAGGUUGGGGUGGGCUUAUUAUAGAUCAACCGCUACCUCUGUAAUUCUACUCCCCACGAGGAAGACCACCUCAUCUCCGCUCAUGCCUGUGAGGGACACCCACGAGCACACAGUUUAAGGACGUGGGUUAUUCAUAGAGGGUUGGGGAAUUCAUGGACUACAGCACAGCGUUUUGGAUGGGGGUAUUGACACGGCACAGCAUAUUGCUUAGGGAUGUGACCAUUGUGUAUGUAUACUGACCCAACAGGUUGGGUCGUGCCUAAUACAGCUGAGUGGAUUCGUCUUUAGGGAAGUAACUAAAUGGUUAAAUCAUUCUUGGGAACAGAAAAUAUCAAAAUAUUAAUCUUUGUAAAGCUGGGCAAGGGUGACUAUUUUCCUAAUGGUGUUGGUUAUCUUUAACCGACAUCUGUCUUUUUAACUCUGUUAAACUAUUUAUUUUGCCCUUCAUUCAAAAAUCUAUGUGGGUUUGCCCCACAAAGAAUGUUUAAAGUUAUAUAUUAUUAUUUUCAUAUUCUUAAUUACUCGUGACAUCCACAUAUGAAAGACACCAACAAUAUGACGCAACCCUAUUGCCAUGCUGGCAUGGAUGCACAUUCUGGCGCAUUCUUGACUGGCAUGCGUUGGCGGAUGCGGCCUAAGCCAAUUUACACCCCCACAACCCCUUAUCCCGCCCCACCCCGUAUUCCAAGUGGCUUUGUUGGGAAUGCUAGAGAUGGCGCCCAUGCUGGCCACCUGUGGUGGAUACCAGGGCCUCGUCCAGUCGGGUCAGCCCCCCGGGGAUACAAAGUCAAGGGGAACGGAUCACCAAGCCGGCCCCAUGCUGACACCGUGUCUCGCAGAUUCGGUGGAUCAUUACAGCGCCAUGAACUAGUGAUUCACAAGCGCAUCAGCAGUUUUAAACGAGCUUGGUUUAACCUUUUUGGUUGAUGAAUUAUUGAGCUGGAAACGUGUCGUGUCUGUGAAGAGGGGGCAGCUGAUGAAGUGUGGACGGGGUUGCUCGUAUGUGUUUGAAGCGUGUGCACAUAGUGGUGAGCAAGAGAGAGAAGGAGGGCAUUUGCUUCUGCUAUGGAUUUACAUACAUUACCCUUUCAUUUCAUCUCCCACUAUUAAGUGCUAGCGUUUCCUGUCGUGUGUAUUGCUUCGCGUCUUGUGGGCCGUGUUGAGAAGUGUGUGGCCAAUUAUGCAGAGAAAGGGCUUCAGCACCUGUCACUGCCCAAGUCCCCGAACGGCGUACGGUCGCGCAUAUUCAAUGUCUCUAGCGCCUCUACAUCAUUUUGAAGGGUAACCAAGCAUUAAAACAAAACUACAAGACAAGGCCCAAAAAACAUGGACACUAUAUUUGCAACCAGGUCCAUCUAGCCUAUUUUCAAAACAAUAAGGGUCAUUAUGUUUUCUUAAUUCAAUAAAACGAACAACCACAAUUUAGAAAUUCAGCAAAAUAAUCAUUGUGCGUUUCGCCUUCCUAAAUCCCCCCCCCCUCCCAAGCGCCUGACCUCUCCCCAAAACCAAUGACUGACAACCCCCGCCUCUGUCCCCCCCCCC